CGGGGUGUAGCGCAGCCCGGUUAGCGCGCGUCGUUCGGGACGACGAGGUCGAAGGUUCGAAUCCUUUCACCCCGACUA
RNAcentral lists this transfer RNA (78 nucleotides) under Fidelibacterota bacterium. RNAcentral describes it as "tRNA-Pro". It matches the Rfam family "tRNA". Rfam says of the family: Transfer RNA (tRNA) molecules are approximately 80 nucleotides in length. Their secondary structure includes four short double-helical elements and three loops (D, anti-codon, and T loops). Lineage: Bacteria; Pseudomonadati; Fidelibacterota. The record is from RNAcentral.